RNAcentral lists this ribosomal RNA (637 nucleotides) under uncultured bacterium. RNAcentral's name for it is "bacterial SSU rRNA". It matches the Rfam family "Bacterial small subunit ribosomal RNA", at positions 202 to 842 of the family's 1533-position model. The record is from RNAcentral.
UAAAGAUUCAUCGCUGAUAGAUAGGCAUGCGUUCCAUUAGGCAGUUGGCGGGGUAACGGCCCACCAAACCGACGAUGGAUAGGGGUUCUGAGAGGAAGGUCCCCCACAUUGGUACUGAGACACGGACCAAACUCCUACGGGAGGCAGCAGUGAGGAAUAUUGGUCAAUGGGCGUAAGCCUGAACCAGCCAAGUCGCGUGAGGGAUGAAGGUUCUAUGGAUCGUAAACCUCUUUUAUAAGGGAAUAAAGUGCGGGACGUGUCCCGUUUUGUAUGUACCUUAUGAAUAAGGAUCGGCUAACUCCGUGCCAGCAGCCGCGGUAAUACGGAGGAUCCGAGCGUUAUCCGGAUUUAUUGGGUUUAAAGGGUGCGUAGGCGGCCUUUUAAGUCAGCGGUGAAAGUCUGUGGCUCAACCAUAGAAUUGCCGUUGAAACUGGGAGGCUUGAGUAUGUUUGAGGCAGGCGGAAUGCGUGGUGUAGCGGUGAAAUGCUUAGAUAUCACGCAGAACCCCGAUUGCGAAGGCAGCCUGCCAAGCCAUGACUGACGCUGAUGCACGAAAGCGUGGGGAUCAAACAGGAUUAGAUACCCUGGUAGUCCACGCAGUAAACGACGAUCACUAGCUGUUUGCGAUACACAGUAA